Suricata suricatta (meerkat) is the source of this 506-nucleotide long non-coding RNA. RefSeq lists it as uncharacterized. NCBI's taxonomy places the organism in Eukaryota, Metazoa, Chordata, Mammalia, Carnivora, Herpestidae. The record is from RefSeq and is a predicted model, not a curated record. The transcript has 2 exons.
ACGUGAUUAACGCCAUCGCCUUAUAGCCAAUUAGGCUGCUCUCGACAGUUUAGUGUUUUAUAACAAGAAGAGCCCAAAACUUCGGAAAAAAUUAAAAACGGCAUUUCGAGCAUCAGUGGAAUCAGUAACCACACGACUACUUGACGCCGCCUGCGAACCGGAGGGCGAGGCGUCAAGGCCCAAGAGCUGGGUUGGAGCACAAGGGAACUUCUGCUGGGGCCAUCCAAAGUUGCAGAUUGCAGGACACCAGGUCUGAGGGGUUUGGUGGCCAUUUUGGAAAUAGUCACCAUGGCCAGAAGGUGCUAUUCUUGUUAGCCAGGCCUGAUUCCCAUGUCUAUCCAGGGGGUAGAGUCUACACCCUUUGAAAGACUUGUCUGAAGACGCACAUGAGGACCAGACGAACGGAAAGUGGAUGGCACCCAUCUGAACAAGAAAUAGCCGCUGUGGCCUGAAGCACAAGUUUCCCUUUACCCCCAUUUUCUUAGUAAAUUAUCCCCAUUCUCUGC